UACGGAGGAUCCGAGCGUUAUCCGGAUUUAUUGGGUUUAAAGGGUGCGCAGGCGGGAUGUUAAGUCGGCGGUGAAAUUUUGCAGCUCAACUGUAAAAGUGCCUUCGAUACUGGCUUCCUUGAGUGUGGAUGAAGUAGGCGGAAUUUGUGGUGUAGCGGUGAAAUGCUUAGAUAUCACGAGGAACUCCGAUUGCGCAGGCAGCUUACUAAACUACUACUGACGCUCAGGCUCGAAAGCGUGGGGAGCAAACAGGAUUAGAUACCCU
RNAcentral lists this ribosomal RNA (265 nucleotides) under uncultured prokaryote. Its description in RNAcentral is "partial 16S ribosomal RNA". It matches the Rfam family "Bacterial small subunit ribosomal RNA", at positions 524 to 788 of the family's 1533-position model. The record is from RNAcentral.